GUUUCAAUGAAUGCAUCUGAAAAAAAAAAUGGAGAAAUAUCUGAUGUAAACACAUUGAGCAAUAAUCAGAUCAUAAACAAGACAAGAAUGGAGUUGCUAUUAGUAGUUAACAUAGGAAGAGUGCCGCUAAAACCGGUAAUGCAUGCAAGUGAAAGGACAAAAAUGUUUAUCAUCUCAAGCCACGCUUAAGAUUAAGAAGCAAUCAAUAUAUCACUGUGCUUCCCCUAUACAACCUCUUAGUAAGGAUAUAAUUGAUCGAGGAUACAAAUAACAAUGCUGAUGAUACUGCUAGUUUCCUUUCUCUUUUUUUCCACUGUAACGAGGGUCUCAUAAAAAACUAAAACCAACCUCAAGCCCGGCAUUUUUUACUAGUUCUCGGACCUCAUGGUUCCUCCCUUCAUGAACC
Molecule: long non-coding RNA, 406 nt
Organism: Populus euphratica (Euphrates poplar)
Lineage: Eukaryota; Viridiplantae; Streptophyta; Magnoliopsida; Malpighiales; Salicaceae
Exons: 2
Source: RefSeq, a predicted model, not a curated record